Molecule: long non-coding RNA, 838 nt
Filed under: Nicotiana benthamiana
Lineage: Eukaryota; Viridiplantae; Streptophyta; Magnoliopsida; Solanales; Solanaceae
Description: long non-coding RNA (NBEN_LNC035769)
Source: RNAcentral
AAGAGAGAAAAUGAUGAGGAAUUUGGUUGUUCAAUUAAUCAAUUUGUAUCAUAUAGGAAUAAAUCGUCAAUAAUUAUCUUAUAUGGUACUUUAUUCAUCAAAAUAGGUUGUAUAUUAUGUACCGUAGUAAAUUCAAAAUUUGGACUGUGUGAAUAUUUGAAGUUAAGAGUGUCUGUUCAAAGACAUAUUUUUAACUUAAUUAUUUUAACUUUUUUCUAAUAAAACCCACAUAAACUUCUAUAUGCACUACUAAUUGAUAGGGUGAUCAUACAAGUUGCAAUCUUGAAAUUUCAAUAAAGUCAAACUUCAAACCAUUUCAUAUUUGGUAGAACAUUGCCCCACUUACGAAUGUACAUUUAGUUGUGAUUAACCCACAUUUCACCUAUUUUGAUUGGAGGAUUUAAGUGAUAAGAACGGACCUUGGGCAUAACUCAACCCCAAAAGCUAGUUUAUGUGAGGAUUGCCUAAGUCAUAUAAGGAGACCAAUGACCUCAAAUCCCUCCGAUGUGGGACAACUCAACACCCCCCUCACGCCCAGAUCUCUGGAGUAUGGACAACAUAAAUGGGGGCACAACAUCGGUAACAAUAAUUGGGAUGAGCCUGGCUCUGAUACCAUGAUAAGAAUGGACCUUGGGCCUAACUCAACCCCAAAAGCUAGCUUAUGAGGUGAGGAUUGCUCAAGCCAUAUAAGGAGACCAAUGACCUGAUAAGAAUGGACCUUGUGCCUAACUCAACCCCAAAAACUAGUUUAUGAGGUGGGAAUUAUCCAAGCAAUAUAAGGAGACUAAAUGCCUCAAAUCCCUCCGACGUGGGACAACUCAACAAAAUGGUCUAUAGG